This is a long non-coding RNA of Exaiptasia diaphana, 396 nucleotides long. RefSeq lists it as uncharacterized. The transcript is spliced from 4 exons. The record is from RefSeq and is a predicted model, not a curated record. NCBI's taxonomy places the organism in Eukaryota, Metazoa, Cnidaria, Anthozoa, Actiniaria, Aiptasiidae.
CUUCUAGUCGGACGCCAUCUUGGACUAGAGUGGUGUUAUAGUAGCUAGACGAAAUAUAUAUUUUAUUACUUUCUGGGACUGAAAAUGCCGGUUAAUGUCCAUCCAGCAAUAAGGUUCUCGAGAUAUGCGGCUCUGUUCAUAGGAAUUGCAUAUGGAUAUAGAAGAAAUGAGUAUCUCAAGCCUAUAGCAGCCCAYGAUAGAGAAGUAGAAGCUUUGCGUGCUAAGGAACAGGCUGAACUUAAAGCAAUGAAGGAUGCAAUUGCUGCUAAAGAGCCCCUGUUCUAGAGUGAUUUCUACCAGURUAUUUAUGGAAUUGUGAAUUAUUUGAACAGUGGAAACAGUUCUAUACUUUGUAAUUAUUGAUAUUUGAACAUGGAAUAAACAGCUUUUACAUUA